AGCCUGCUUAAUCUCAGCUGGCAAUCUGUGAUGUCAUAAUCAUCACGGGGCAAGAUGGGAUUUUGCUGACU
Molecule: non-coding RNA, 71 nt
Organism: Ciona intestinalis (vase tunicate)
Lineage: Eukaryota; Metazoa; Chordata; Ascidiacea; Phlebobranchia; Cionidae
Source: Rfam